Molecule: ribosomal RNA, 253 nt
Filed under: uncultured bacterium
Lineage: Bacteria
Description: partial 16S ribosomal RNA
Rfam family: Bacterial small subunit ribosomal RNA
Source: RNAcentral
UACGGAGGGGGCUAGUGUUGUUCGGAAUUACUGGGCGUAAAGAGCGCGCAGGCGGUCGUUCAAGUCGAGUGUGAAAGCCCCCGGCUCAACUGGGGAGGGUCAUUCGAUACUGAUCGACUCGAAGGCAGGAGAGGGUAGUGGAAUUCCAGGUGUAGCGGUGAAAUGCGUAGAUAUCUGGAGGAACACCGGUGGCGAAGGCGGCAUCCUGGACCGGUAUUGACGCUGAGGCGCGAAAGCCAGGGGAGCAAACGGG